This 253-nucleotide ribosomal RNA is filed under the name uncultured bacterium. Its description in RNAcentral is "partial 16S ribosomal RNA". It matches the Rfam family "Bacterial small subunit ribosomal RNA", at positions 524 to 776 of the family's 1533-position model. The record is from RNAcentral.
UACAGAGGGUGCAAGCGUUAAUCGGAAUUACUGGGCGUAAAGCGUGCGUAGACGGUUAUGUAAGUCGGGUGUGAAAGCCCCGGGCUCAACCUGGGAAUGUCAUUCGAGACUGCAUAGCUAGGGUGCGGAAGAGGGAAGCGGAAUUUCCGGUGUAGCGGUGAAAUGCGUAGAUAUCGGAAGGAACACCAGUGGCGAAAGCGGCUUCCUGGUCCAGCACCGACGUUCAGGCACGAAAGCGUGGGGAGCGAACAGG